This 413-nucleotide ribosomal RNA is filed under the name uncultured prokaryote. RNAcentral's name for it is "bacterial SSU rRNA". It matches the Rfam family "Bacterial small subunit ribosomal RNA", at positions 505 to 918 of the family's 1533-position model. The record is from RNAcentral.
GUGCCAGCCGCCGCGGUAAUACGAAGGGGGCUAGCGUUGUUCGGAAUUACUGGGCGUAAAGCGCGCGUAGGCGGCCUUGCAAGUUGGGGGUGAAAUCCCGGAGCUCAACUCCGGAACUGCCUCCAAAACUUCCAGUCUGGAGUUCGAGAGAGGUGAGUGGAAUUCCGAGUGUAGAGGUGAAAUUCGUAGAUAUUCGGAGGAACACCAGUGGCGAAGGCGGCUCACUGGCUCGAUACUGACGAUGAGGUGCGAAAGUGUGGGGAGCAAACAGGAUUAGAUACCCUGGUAGUCCACACCGUAAACGAUGAAUGCCAGUCGUCGGCAAGCAUGCUUGUCGGUGACACACCUAACGGAUUAAGCAUUCCGCCUGGGGAGUACGGCCGCAAGGUUAAAACUCAAAUGAAUUGACGGGG